GCUCGCGUCUGAUUAGCUAGUUGGUAGGGUAAAGGCUUACCAAGGCGACGAUCAGUAGCUGAUUCGAGAGGAUGAUCAGCCACACUGGAACUGAGACACGGUCCAGACUCCUACGGGAGGCAGCAGUGAGGAAUUUUCUGCAAUGGGCGAAAGCCUGACAGAGCAAUACCGCGUGAGGGAAUUAGAAGGCCUAUGGGUUGUAAACCUCUUUUCUCAAAGAAGAAGAUAUGACGUUAUUUGAGGAAUAAGCAUCGGCUAACCCUGUGCCAGCAGCCGCGGUAAGACAGGGGAUGCGAGUGUUAUUCGGAAUUAUUGGGCGUAAAGCGUUUGUAGGUUGACUUCAAAGUCUUUUGUAAAAUCUUUAAGCUUAACUUAAAAACCGCAAAAGAUACUUGUUUUCUUGAGUAUGGUAGAGGUAAAGGGAAUUUCCAGUGGAGCGGUGAAAUGCGUAGAGAUUGGAAGGAACACCAAAAGCGAA
Molecule: ribosomal RNA, 478 nt
Filed under: uncultured bacterium
Lineage: Bacteria
Description: bacterial SSU rRNA
Rfam family: Bacterial small subunit ribosomal RNA
Source: RNAcentral